Molecule: ribosomal RNA, 83 nt
Filed under: Campylobacter ureolyticus
Lineage: Bacteria; Pseudomonadati; Campylobacterota; Epsilonproteobacteria; Campylobacterales; Campylobacteraceae
Description: partial 23S ribosomal RNA
Source: RNAcentral
GUAAGCUACUAAGAGCGAAUGGUGGAUGCCUUGGUUGGUAGAGGCGAUGAAAGACGUGCUAGACUGCGAUAAGUCUCGGGGAG